RNAcentral lists this transfer RNA (75 nucleotides) under Bacillota bacterium. RNAcentral's name for it is "tRNA-Ile". It matches the Rfam family "tRNA". From Rfam's summary of the family: Transfer RNA (tRNA) molecules are approximately 80 nucleotides in length. Their secondary structure includes four short double-helical elements and three loops (D, anti-codon, and T loops). The record is from RNAcentral. Lineage: Bacteria; Bacillati; Bacillota.
GGGCCUAUAGCUCAGAUUGGUUAGAGCGCGCGCCUGAUAAGUGCGAGGUCCCUGGUUCGAGCCCAGGUAGGCCCA